Podarcis lilfordi (Lilford's wall lizard) is the source of this 85-nucleotide non-coding RNA. NCBI's taxonomy places the organism in Eukaryota, Metazoa, Chordata, Lepidosauria, Squamata, Lacertidae. The record is from the annotation of a GenBank genome assembly.
GGGAGCAAGACUUUCGCCCCUGCCGGCCUUCAGAAGAGGUCCUGGACCUCUUCUGAAGGCCGGCGGGGGCGAAAGUCUUGCUCCC